UUUUUCACUAUUUAGUUUUAUACUUUAGAUUCUAAUAAAAUGCUUUAAUAAAACAUAAUUGUUUCCUUCACAGGGUGGAUCAUUUAUUGCAACCAGUGGAUCAAGUAAUCAGGGUGGCUGCAUUUGUCCUGAUGGAAGCAGCGGUCAUAGACAGGUAAUUAUUUUCCUGUGUUUAUACUUCCUUCUACAUAAUGGAGUAUUUUGAAUUAAUCACCUUGUAAAUAUGGACAUUUGGUUAACACUAAUGACGAUUUCCUUAGUAUGGGUAGAAGUAUAUACAAUUAAAUGAAAGAAUGAGCUCCACUUAGCUGCAUAAUUACCAUUUG
RNAcentral lists this long non-coding RNA (326 nucleotides) under Cyanistes caeruleus (blue tit). RNAcentral describes it as "lncRNA (ENSCCEG00000022677.1)". Lineage: Eukaryota; Metazoa; Chordata; Aves; Passeriformes; Paridae. The record is from RNAcentral.